RNAcentral lists this small RNA (30 nucleotides) under Bombyx mori (domestic silkworm). RNAcentral describes it as "ovarian small RNA-4544". Lineage: Eukaryota; Metazoa; Arthropoda; Insecta; Lepidoptera; Bombycidae. The record is from RNAcentral.
AGCGGAUCUCAGCCUGCCGGCCGUGGUGGC